GACCAGAUCAUCAUGACAUGGCCUCCUAAAACAUCCUUUCGAGGGCAAAGGAGACAGAAGAAAGUGACCUCCUAGCAACUGCCUGUGCAAAGAAGAGACUCAACAAAAGAAAAGACUUCUCUCAUGAAGACCCAAGAGCUUCAGGGUCAGAAUGAGGAUAAGAAUUUGAUGUGCAGGGUUUGAAUGACCCAAGCCUGCAGAGUCAACUCUACUGCCCGUCCACACUUGUCUGCUGCUGUUCCUCACCUCUCCAGUGAGCGUGGAGUUCCAUGGUCUCAGGUGACAGCCAUCACACCCACUCUGAAUUUCCUGACAGGCAUAAUAGAAUUGAAGACACAGUGGAUAACGACAGAGCCUCGUGUACUGCUAACAGGUACAGAAGCCAAAUAGCCACUCUAGGGAGUUCUGGUUGUUGUUUUGGUUUUGUUUUGUUUUUAAGAGAUGAGGUCUCACUCUGUGGCCCAGGCUGGAGUGCAGUGGCACAAUCAUAGCUC
Molecule: long non-coding RNA, 494 nt
Filed under: Homo sapiens (human)
Lineage: Eukaryota; Metazoa; Chordata; Mammalia; Primates; Hominidae
Description: non-protein coding lnc-NDUFV2-1:12
Source: RNAcentral